This 325-nucleotide long non-coding RNA is filed under the name Nicotiana benthamiana. RNAcentral's name for it is "long non-coding RNA (NBEN_LNC001884)". Lineage: Eukaryota; Viridiplantae; Streptophyta; Magnoliopsida; Solanales; Solanaceae. The record is from RNAcentral.
UAGGAAUUCUGAUUGCCAUGUUGAUAUGCCCACUACCCCAACUCCCUCUUCCUCUGGUCUUCGCUUGCCUAAACAUAGCUCCAAAUCUUCCAAGGUAAAAAAAGUUUCAAUCUUUAUGUUUUUUUUUCGUUUGGUUUAUUUGGAUUACUCUUCGUUAAGAUAAUUACACAAGGUAGAUAAUUUCUUGUUUAUAUUUUAUGUCUUCACUUAAAACAUAUCCAAGGGGAUGUGCCUUGGUGUAUGCUUUUGCUGAUGAUAUAGCAUUGAUAGACGAGACGAGGGUUGGUGUUAGUGAAAGGUUAGAGGUGUGGAGACAGACCCUCGA